UGCAAGUUGAGCGCUGAAGGUUGGUACUUGUACCAACUGGAUGAGCAGCGAACGGGUGAGUAACGCGUGGGGAAUCUGCCUUUGAGCGGGGGACAACAUUUGGAAACGAAUGCUAAUACCGCAUAAAAACUUUAAACACAAGUUUUAAGUUUGAAAGAUGCAAUUGCAUCACUCAAAGAUGAUCCCGCGUUGUAUUAGCUAGUUGGUGAGGUAAAGGCUCACCAAGGCGAUGAUACAUAGCCGACCUGAGAGGGUGAUCGGCCACAUUGGGACUGAGACACGGCCCAAACUCCUACGGGAGGCAGCAGUAGGGAAUCUUCGGCAAUGGACGAAAGUCUGACCGAGCAACGCCGCGUGAGUGAAGAAGGUUUUCGGAUCGUAAAACUCUGUUGGUAGAGAAGAACGUUGGUGAGAGUGGAAAGCUCAUCAAGUGACGGUAACUACCCAGAAAGGGACGGCUAACUACGUGCCAGCAGCCGCGGUAAUACGUAGGUCCCGAGCGUUGUCCGGAUUUAUUGGGCGUAAAGCGAGCGCAGGUGGUUUAUUAAGUCUGGUGUAAAAGGCAGUGGCUCAACCAUUGUAUGCAUUGGAAACUGGUAGACUUGAGUGCAGGAGAGGAGAGUGGAAUUCCAUGUGUAGCGGUGAAAUGCGUAGAUAUAUGGAGGAACACCGGUGGCGAAAGCGGCUCUCUGGCCUGUAACUGACACUGAGGCUCGAAAGCGUGGGGAGCAAACAGGAUUAGAUACCCUGGUAGUCCACGCCGUAAACGAUGAGUGCUAGAUGUAGGGAGCUAUAAGUUCUCUGUAUCGCAGCUAACGCAAUAAGCACUCCGCCUGGGGAGUACGACCGCAAGGUUGAAACUCAAAGGAAUUGACGGGGGCCCGCACAAGCGGUGG
RNAcentral lists this ribosomal RNA (896 nucleotides) under Lactococcus lactis. RNAcentral's name for it is "bacterial SSU rRNA". It matches the Rfam family "Bacterial small subunit ribosomal RNA", at positions 56 to 935 of the family's 1533-position model. The record is from RNAcentral. Lineage: Bacteria; Bacillati; Bacillota; Bacilli; Lactobacillales; Streptococcaceae.